This 443-nucleotide ribosomal RNA is filed under the name uncultured bacterium. Its description in RNAcentral is "partial 16S ribosomal RNA". It matches the Rfam family "Bacterial small subunit ribosomal RNA", at positions 338 to 795 of the family's 1533-position model. The record is from RNAcentral.
CCUACGGGUGGCAGCAGUGGGGAAUAUUGGGCAAUGGGCGCAAGCCUGACCCAGCAACGCCGCGUGAAGGAUGAAGGCUCUCGGGUUGUAAACUUCUUUUAUCAGAGACGAAAAAAAUGACGGUACCUGAUGAAUAAGCCACGGCUACCUACCCGCCAGCAGCCGCGGUAAUACGUAGGGGGCAAGUGUUAUGCGUCAUUACUGGGGGUAAAGGGCGCGUAGGGGGGAGAGCAAGUCAGACGUGAAAUUCGAGGGCUCAACCCUGGAACUGCGUUUGAAACUGUUCUUCUAGAGUGAGGGAGAGGUAGGCGGAAUUCUGGGUGUAGGGGUGAAAUGCGUAGAUAUACGGAGGAAUACUAGUGGCGAAGGCGACCUGCUGGACCUUAACUGACGCUGAGGCGCGAAAGCGUGGGGAGCAAACAGGAUUAGAUACCCCAGUAGUC